CUGGCGACGCGCCUUCCGAGUUCCCUGGAACGGGACGCCAUAGAGGGUGAGAGCCCCGUACGGUUGGAUGCCUAGCCUCUGUGAAACUCCUUCGACGAGUCGAGUAGUUUGGGAAUGCUGCUCUAAAUGGGAGGUAUACGUCUUCUAAAGCUAAAUACCGGCCAGAGACCGAUAGCGCACAAGUAGAGUGAUCGAAAGAUGAAAAGCACUUUGAAAAGAGGGUUAAAAAGUACGUGAAAUUGUUGAAAGGUAAGCGUUCAUGACCAGACUUGGGCAGGUUGAUCAUCCGUGGUUCUCCGCGGUGCACUCUGCCUGCCCAGGCCAGCNUCNNUUCGCCCCGGGGGAUAAAGGCUUUGGAAAUGUG
Molecule: ribosomal RNA, 364 nt
Filed under: soil fungal sp. DM075
Lineage: Eukaryota; Fungi
Description: eukaryotic LSU rRNA
Rfam family: Eukaryotic large subunit ribosomal RNA
Source: RNAcentral